RNAcentral lists this long non-coding RNA (1309 nucleotides) under Sus scrofa (pig). RNAcentral's name for it is "lncRNA (ENSSSCG00045005919.1)". The record is from RNAcentral. Lineage: Eukaryota; Metazoa; Chordata; Mammalia; Artiodactyla; Suidae.
AGCCGGGGGAACAAGAAAACUGGGGGAACGGGCACGCGUCUUCGCCCCCAACUCUCCUUGUCAACUAGGACGACAGGUGAGAUCGCGCCAAAAGCGAGGGUCUGUGCCAGGAGAGAAGGGACGCUGCGAGAAGGGAGCUGGGUGUGUACUGCAGAAGCCAGGAGAGACAGCGAGCCCCUCGAGGCGUUGAAGACCGAGCGUCAGCCUUCUUGGCCUCCCAUCGGCCGGUGCCACCCAAAUUUCGCGCGCCUCCCGGCCCGUCCCGAAUGCAAGCAGCGCAGGCGAGGAAGCAUUGCUCGCGAUGCAGCUGCAUUCGCACCAGAGGAAAGCCUCCAGCCGCGCGACUCCAGGACCUUGAGAACAUUGACUGCUGCGUCCUGGGACUAUCCAACUGUCCGAAUCCCCAGACCGUGUUCUCCGUCUAAGGACUCAGACGGGAGAUCUCUCGGAGUCGAGUCUCCUCCAGAGGACAGCUUUGCUCAGCCUCCUAAAAGAUCCCUUUGCUCCUCCCUUCACCACAUGUGACCAAGUCUCCCAGUUUCCCAGCCUGGAGAGCUUACCGGAAAAGAACCCACGUGACAUGGGAUCUGCUUGCUCUUUGGAAAAGCAGGUAUUGAGGAAUCUCUUCUUCUUUCCUCUUCCCCCUCUUCCUUGAAUGGCCUUUGUGACUUCAGGGCCCCAGUGCAGCUGAGGUUGACAUGGCAGGGUAAUCCUAUAGAGAAGGGAAUGUGAAAGGGACCUCCUCCUUGAGGAAUAAAAGAAGCACCUUGAAGUCAGUAACACGGGGAAUGUGACUCCUGCCAGGUCUGCUGGGCAGGCCCUUUCUGCUCCUGGCUGCAGCCUGUCCGUCCAGUCUUCUGCAGUCAUCUGGGUAAGCUUUUUUUUUUUUUUUUUUUUUUUUUUUUUUUUUUUUUUNNNNNNNNNNNNNNNNNNNNNNNNNNUUUUUUUUUUUUUUUUUUUUUUUUUUUUUUGUCUUUUUGCCUUUUCUUGGGCCGCUCCUUGCAGCAUAUGGAGGUUCCCAGGCUAGGGACUGAAUCAGAGCUGUAGCCGCUGGCCUACACCACAGCCACAGCAACGUGGGAUCUGAGCUGCAUCUGCGACCUACAGCACAGCUCACAGCAACGCCGGGUCCUUAACCCACUGAGCAAGGCCAGGGAUCGAACCUACAACCUCAUGGUUCCUAGUCGGAACCCACUGAGCCACAACGGGAACUCCUGGGUAAGCUUCUUGAUGCAAGCAGACGUGGGCGAGACCCCUGCUGGGAGGUCAUGAUAGAGGAACUGUAGAAACUGAUCUUCCAAUGUCUGAG